RNAcentral lists this RNase P RNA (427 nucleotides) under Bradyrhizobium sp. CSS354. RNAcentral describes it as "RNase P RNA component class A". It matches the Rfam family "Bacterial RNase P class A". From Rfam's summary of the family: Ribonuclease P (RNase P) is a ubiquitous endoribonuclease, found in archaea, bacteria and eukarya as well as chloroplasts and mitochondria. Lineage: Bacteria; Pseudomonadati; Pseudomonadota; Alphaproteobacteria; Hyphomicrobiales; Nitrobacteraceae. The record is from RNAcentral.
UCAGUCGGCCGGACGGCCGCUCCGGCAAGUGCCGAAAGGCCGCCGGGGAGGAAAGUCCGGGCUCCCUUGACAUACGGUGCCGGAUAACGUCCGGCGGGGGCGACCCCAGGGAAAGUGCCACAGAGAACGAACCGCCCUGCUUCGCCUUCGGGCUUCGCAGGGUAAGGGUGAAAAGGUGCGGUAAGAGCGCACCGCGGCUGCGGCAACGGAGCCGGCAUGGUAAACUCCACCGGGAGCAAAACCGAAUAGGGACGGCGUAGCGGGCUGUUCGCGAAAGCGAUAACGCCGCGGGGCGAUGUCAGGCCCGCCGUCCGGGUAGGUUGCUCGAGGCCAUGUGCAAACAUGGUCCCAGAGGAAUGGCCGUCACGUAUCGUUCGCGCAAGCGGACGGUGCCCUACAGAACCCGGCUUACAGGCCGGCUGAUAUC